This 358-nucleotide ribosomal RNA is filed under the name uncultured bacterium. RNAcentral's name for it is "bacterial SSU rRNA". It matches the Rfam family "Bacterial small subunit ribosomal RNA", at positions 28 to 389 of the family's 1533-position model. The record is from RNAcentral.
GACGAACGCUGGCGGCGUGCUUAACACAUGCAAGUCGAACGGUGAUCCCAGCUUGCUGGGGUGAUCAGUGGCGAACGGGUGAGUAACACGUGAGCAACCUGCCCCCGACUCUGGGAUAGCCUCGGGAAACCGGGAUUAAUACCGGAUAUGACACUGCCAGGCAUCUGGUGGUGUGGAAAGUUCUUCGGUCGGGGAUGGGCUCGCGGCCUAUCAGCUUGUUGGUGGGGAAUGACCUACCAAGGCGACGACGGGUAGCCGGCCUGAGAGGGCGACCGGCCACACUGGGACUGAGACACGGCCCAGACUCCUACGGGAGGCAGCAGUGGGGAAUAUUGCGCAAUGGGCGAAAGCCUGACGC